UAUUCUGCCCAUGCGGGAAGGAUGAGAAACUUCGACUAAGGUUCGAUUCGAGCGUAGCGAGAAAGCGUUGCCAAAGGCAACGACCCGAAGUGCGAAGCGCGCUGCGCUGAGUAAUCCUUCCCCCACCACCA
RNAcentral lists this small RNA (131 nucleotides) under Citrobacter sp. Ce006. RNAcentral describes it as "RtT sRNA". It matches the Rfam family "RtT RNA". From Rfam's summary of the family: This family represents a bacterial cis-regulatory element known as RtT RNA. The record is from RNAcentral. Lineage: Bacteria; Pseudomonadati; Pseudomonadota; Gammaproteobacteria; Enterobacterales; Enterobacteriaceae.